RNAcentral lists this small nuclear RNA (277 nucleotides) under Felis catus (domestic cat). RNAcentral describes it as "7SK RNA". It matches the Rfam family "7SK RNA", at positions 1 to 272 of the family's 331-position model. Rfam says of the family: 7SK was discovered as an abundant small nuclear RNA in the mid-70s but a possible function has only recently been suggested. Lineage: Eukaryota; Metazoa; Chordata; Mammalia; Carnivora; Felidae. The record is from Rfam by way of RNAcentral.
GGAUGUGAAGAUGAUAUGGCUGUGACAUCUGUCACCACAUUGAUCACCAAAGUUGAUUCUGUUGAUCUGACUGUCUAGGCAGGUGUCCCCUUCCUCCCUCACCACUCCAUGCACAUCCUUCCCAAAGCUGAGUUCUUGGUCAAAGAGGUUGACAGUCCCUUGAUAGAGGAACACUGUUCUUCAGUUAAGGGUACAUGAGUAGCUCUGGUUCCCCUGCUAGUACCUUUAGAACCUUCAAAACUUGAGGAAGAAGAAAGAGAGAGGAAGAGGGAGAGGG